UAAACCAAGGUGUCCGUGAUCUCUUCACAAAUCCUACUCUUCCAUCCUCUCUAAGCUUGAACUCAAGCGUUCAUUGAAUUUGUAACCAUGGCCAUGCUUGAAGAACAACUGAAAGUAUUGAAGACCACCUUCGAUAAGUAUGCUGGAAAAGACGCAGACAAAGGUUCAAUGAGCAAGGCAGAACUUGCUGAUUUGCUCCGCGAGGAGUUUCCUGGAAUGGCCGGGGACAAAAAACAGUUGGACGCAUUCUUCACCGGCCUGGAUGCGGACAAGGAUGGAAAAGUUUCUUUCCCAGAGUUUGUCCAGUUUGCAGCAACCUUGCUGUUGAUGAUGAUGAGCCAAAUGUAAUUUGGGAA
Long non-coding RNA from Gymnodraco acuticeps, 356 nucleotides. RefSeq lists it as uncharacterized. The record is from RefSeq and is a predicted model, not a curated record. NCBI's taxonomy places the organism in Eukaryota, Metazoa, Chordata, Actinopteri, Perciformes, Bathydraconidae. The transcript has 3 exons.